RNAcentral lists this ribosomal RNA (254 nucleotides) under uncultured bacterium. Its description in RNAcentral is "partial 16S ribosomal RNA". It matches the Rfam family "Bacterial small subunit ribosomal RNA", at positions 99 to 354 of the family's 1533-position model. The record is from RNAcentral.
CGGACGGGUGAGUAACGCGUGGAUAACCUGCCGUAUACCGGGGGAUAACACUUAGAAAUAGGUGCUAAUACCGCAUAAGCGCACGGCUCCGCAUGGGGCAGUGUGAAAAACUCCGGCGGUAUACGAUGGAUCCGCGUCUGAUUAGCUAGUUGGCGGGGUAACGGCCACCAAGGCAGCGAUCAGUAGCCGGCCUGAGAGGGUGGACGGCCACAUUGGGACUGAGACACGGCCCAAACUCCUACGGGAGGCAGCAG